RNAcentral lists this ribosomal RNA (490 nucleotides) under Streptococcus parasanguinis. RNAcentral's name for it is "bacterial SSU rRNA". It matches the Rfam family "Bacterial small subunit ribosomal RNA", at positions 28 to 500 of the family's 1533-position model. The record is from RNAcentral. Lineage: Bacteria; Bacillati; Bacillota; Bacilli; Lactobacillales; Streptococcaceae.
GAUGAACGCUGGCGGCGUGCCUAAUACAUGCAAAGUAGAACGCUUGAAGCUUGGUGCUUGCACCGAGCGGAUGAGUUGCGAACGGGUGAGUAACGCGUAGGUAACCUGCCUCUUAGCGGGGGAUAACUAUUGGAAACGAUAGCUAAUACCGCAUAAAAGUCGACAUCGCAUGAUAUUGAUUUGAAAGGUGCAAAUGCAUCACUAAGAGAUGGACCUGCGUUGUAUUAGCUAGUUGGUGAGGUAACGGCUCACCAAGGCGACGAUACAUAGCCGACCUGAGAGGGUGAUCGGCCACACUGGGACUGAGACACGGCCCAGACUCCUACGGGAGGCAGCAGUAGGGAAUCUUCGGCAAUGGGGGCAACCCUGACCGAGCAACGCCGCGUGAGUGAAGAAGGUUUUCGGAUCGUAAAGCUCUGUUGUAAGAGAAGAACGAGUGUGAGAGUGGAAAGUUCACACUGUGACGGUAUCUUACCAGAAAGGCGGCUAC